This 468-nucleotide ribosomal RNA is filed under the name uncultured bacterium. Its description in RNAcentral is "partial 16S ribosomal RNA". It matches the Rfam family "Bacterial small subunit ribosomal RNA", at positions 28 to 507 of the family's 1533-position model. The record is from RNAcentral.
GACGAACGCUGGCGGCGUGCUUAACACAUGCAAGUCGAACGGAAAGGCCCUGCUUUUGUGGGGUGCUCGAGUGGCGAAAGGGUGAGUAACACGUGAGUAACCUGCCCUUGACUUUGGGAUAACUUCAGGAAACUGGGGCUAAUACCGGAUAGGAGCUCCUGCUGCAUGGUGGGGGUUGGAAAGUUUCGGCGGUUGGGGAUGGACUCGCGGCUUAUCAGCUUGUUGGUGGGGUAGUGGCUUACCAAGGCUUUGACGGGUAGCCGGCCUGAGAGGGUGACCGGCCACAUUGGGACUGAGAUACGGCCCAGACUCCUACGGGAGGCAGCAGUGGGGAAUAUUGCACACUGGGCGGAAGCCUGAUGCAGCAACGCCGCGUGCGGGAUGACGGCCUUCGGGUUGUAAACCGCUUUCGCCUGUGACGAAGCGUGAGUGACGGUAAUGGGUAAAGAAGCACCGGCUAACUACGUG